RNAcentral lists this transfer RNA (71 nucleotides) under Streptococcus pneumoniae. RNAcentral describes it as "tRNA-Gly". It matches the Rfam family "tRNA". From Rfam's summary of the family: Transfer RNA (tRNA) molecules are approximately 80 nucleotides in length. Their secondary structure includes four short double-helical elements and three loops (D, anti-codon, and T loops). The record is from RNAcentral. RNAcentral also lists the same sequence under 3 other names. Lineage: Bacteria; Bacillati; Bacillota; Bacilli; Lactobacillales; Streptococcaceae.
GCGGGUGUAGUUCAGUGGUAAAACUACAGCCUUCCAAGCUGUUGUCGCGAGUUCGAUUCUCGUCACCCGCU